UGGGGAAUAUUGCACAAUGGGCGCAAGCCUGAUGCAGCCAUGCCGCGUGUGUGAAGAAGGCCUUCGGGUUGUAAAGCACUUUCAGCGAGGAGGAAGGUGGUGAACUUAAUACGUUCAUCAAUUGACGUUACUCGCAGAAGAAGCACCGGCUAACUCCGUGCCAGCAGCCGCGGUAAUACGGAGGGUGCAAGCGUUAAUCGGAAUUACUGGGCGUAAAGCGCACGCAGGCGGUUUGUUAAGUCAGAUGUGAAAUCCCCGGGCUCAACCUGGGAACUGCAUUUGAAACUGGCAAGCUAGAGUCUCGUAGAGGGGGGUAGAAUUCCAGGUGUAGCGGUGAAAUGCGUAGAGAUCUGGAGGAAUACCGGUGGCGAAGGCGGCCCCCUGGACGAAGACUGACGCUCAGGUGCGAAAGCGUGGGGAGCAAACAGAUUAGAUACCCUGGUAGUCCACGCUGUAAACGAUGUCGAUUUUGGAGGUUGUGCCCUUGAGGCGUGGNUUCCGGAGCUAACGNGUUAAAUCGACCGCC
This 526-nucleotide ribosomal RNA is filed under the name uncultured bacterium. RNAcentral describes it as "partial 16S ribosomal RNA". It matches the Rfam family "Bacterial small subunit ribosomal RNA", at positions 355 to 873 of the family's 1533-position model. The record is from RNAcentral.